RNAcentral lists this ribosomal RNA (19 nucleotides) under Yersinia pestis PY-03. RNAcentral describes it as "partial 23S ribosomal RNA". The record is from RNAcentral. Lineage: Bacteria; Pseudomonadati; Pseudomonadota; Gammaproteobacteria; Enterobacterales; Yersiniaceae.
UCACCUCCUUACCUAACGA